Dermacentor andersoni is the source of this 356-nucleotide non-coding RNA. The record is from RefSeq and is a predicted model, not a curated record. NCBI's taxonomy places the organism in Eukaryota, Metazoa, Arthropoda, Arachnida, Ixodida, Ixodidae.
GGGAGUGUGAGAUUCAGAUCAGUAGAAUAAGGAAUCGGACCGAAUAAUAUAAAGACCAGUGUAGCGGGAACCUGACGUCUAUCAUGAAGAAAAUUACAAGUAUUCUAGUUUUUCUUACCUUCUGCGUAAUAAGUAGCCAUGCUAGCCCGCAUACAAUGAAUAUCGCAAGGGAGGCUACCAAGGUUGAAGAGCGAACUGCUACCACGAUCUGCUCGCACCACGGCUGUGGCGGACAGAAUCAGUGCCCAGAAAAUUGUAAGUGUUUGAGGACCACUUCCCUAUUGACGAGGGCAUCUACUUGCUACUGAGGACACCUGUGCGACGGCUUAUGGGUGAAAAUAAAGGUUUUGACUUGA